CUACCUACGGGACGCAGCAGUGGGGAAUAUUGCACAAUGGGGGAAACCCUGAUGCAGCGACGCCGCGUGGGCGAAGAAGUAUUUCGGUAUGCAAAGCCCUAUCGGCAGGGAAGAAGGAGGACGGUACCUGACUAAGAAGCCCCGGCUAACUACGUGCCAGCAGCCGCGGUAAUACGUAGGGGGCAAGCGUUAUCCGGAUUUACUGGGUGUAAAGGGGGCGCAGACGGCAGCGCACGCCAGGAGUGAAAG
Molecule: ribosomal RNA, 249 nt
Filed under: uncultured bacterium
Lineage: Bacteria
Description: partial 16S ribosomal RNA
Rfam family: Bacterial small subunit ribosomal RNA
Source: RNAcentral